This 292-nucleotide ribosomal RNA is filed under the name uncultured bacterium. RNAcentral describes it as "partial 16S ribosomal RNA". It matches the Rfam family "Bacterial small subunit ribosomal RNA", at positions 505 to 796 of the family's 1533-position model. The record is from RNAcentral.
GUGUCAGCAGCCGCGGUAAUACGGAGGGUGCGAGCGUUGUCCGGAAUCAUUGGGCGUAAAGGGCGCGUAGGUGGCCCGGUCAGUCAGUGGUGAAAGCGCGGGGCUCAACUCCGCGUCGGCCAUUGAUACUGCUGGGCUGGAGCACUGUAGAGGCAGGCGGAAUUCCGGGUGUAGCGGUGGAAUGCGUAGAGAUCCGGAAGAACACCGGUGGCGAAGGCGGCCUGCUGGGCAGUUGCUGACACUGAGGCGCGACAGCGUGGGGAGCAAACAGGAUUAGAUACCCUCGUAGUCC